UUUUUUUUUAUAUUACAUUUCUAACCCGUGUAGCGAGCUUUAGGCCAGUGACUCCCAGACCAGUUGGCCUUAGGGCACUAGGUGUUGAAACACCCCUACGGACUUAAUUACUCGGGUUUCUAAUAAACAAACAAUAUAUCUAUUACCCAUGUAGCGAGCUUUAGGCCAGUGACUCCCAGACCAGUUGACCUUAGGGCACUAGGUGUUGAAACACCCCUACGGACUUAAUUACUCGGGUUUCUAAUAAACAAACAAUAUAUCUAUUACCCAUGUAGCGAGCUUUAGGCCAGUGACUCCCAGACCAGUUGACCUUAGGGCACUAGGUGUUGAAACACCCCUACGGACUUAAUUACUCGGGUUUCUAAUAAACAAACAAUAUAUCUAUUACCCAUGUAGCGAGCUUUAGGCCAGUGACUCCCAGACCAGUUGGCCUUAGGGCACUAGGUGUUGAAACACCCCUACGGACUUAAUUACUCGGGUUUCUAGAUAUAACAAAAUUAAAAACAUUUUUUUCUUCUUUUUUUUUUUGAAAUAUACACUUUCUACUACCUUAGAUACUAUUCCUAAUAAAUCAAAAGAACUAAAUGCUGUAAAAUUUUAACUUACAACCCACUAGUAUGUGUCAUAGUGUGUGUGUGAAGAAUGAUUCAAUAAUACCUGUUAAAUGAGUAAACAAUUAAAUAACUUAAUAACCAAGUGGAGAGUUCACAAAUUUGAGUAAUUCAAAGAAAACGGAACAAAAACAGCUUACUAUGAAUCUCAAAAUCAAAAUAUAAUACAAUAAGACCUGUACGGCCAAGGCGCAUGUACGGUACAGCAGUAAUAGAGCAAAAUCAAAAUAUAAUACAAUAAGACUAUUAGGAUGCGUCUCAAAAGUCGUGACUCUUUACACGGCCAUCCUAGACAAAAAAGCAAAAUUUUUUUUUGUUUUUUUUAACAAAGAAAGGAAAAGAGAAAAGAGAAAAACAACACACAUAUUUAAAAACAUACGUCAAUUAUCCCCACCCACAACCUAAUCUAAACAUUAUCUUAACAUUUUAUAAUUUUACAAAUAUGCAAAAAAAAAAAGUAAAUAAUAAUAAAAAUAAAAAUAAAAGAGAAUAAUAAAAGAAGAAGAAGAGGCAUGUUAUUGCUAGCCCUCUAGCAAUUAAAGAGUUAUAUUAAAUUAAGAUUUAUAAAAUUCACAUGCAAGUUAAUAGUUGUUUAUCUAUCCUCUAAAUUACCAAAUAAAUGAACUCUCCCAAAUUCCUUUACCACAUUGAUGUUCACUCAUUAUCCAGAAUAUCAUCAAACCUUCUUUUGUGCUCAAGUAAUUAACACAAUACUUAUGGGGCUUCAUUAAAAGAAAAACAACAUUUUCGUUCCAAAAUUCAUUAGAAAUUAUAUCUUUAGGUAAUAGAUUAUUCACACAUUUUUUUUAAAUAUUACAUUUCUAACCCGUGUAGCGAGCUUUAGGUCAAUGACUCCCAGACCAGUUGGCCUUAGGGCACUAGGUGUUGAAGCACCCCUACGGACUUAAUUACUCGGGUUUCUAAUAAACAAACAAUAUAUCUAUUACCCAUGUAGCGAGCUUUAUGCCAGUGACUCCCAGACCAGUUGACCUUAGGGCACUAGGUGUUGAAGCACCCCUACGGACUUAAUUACUCGGGUUUCUAAUAAACAAACAAUAUAUCUAUUACCCAUGUAGCGAGCUUUAUGCCAGUGACUCCCAGACCAGUUGACCUUAGGGCACUAGGUGUUGAAGCACCCCUACGGACUUAAUUACUCGGGUUUCUAAUAAACAAACAAUAUAUCUAUUACCCAUGUAGCGAGCUUUAUGCCAGUGACUCCCAGACCAGUUGACCUUAGGGCACUAGGUGUUGAAACACCCCUACGGACUUAAUUACUCGGGUUUUUAGAUAUAACAAAAUUAAAAACAUUUUUUCUUCUUCUUUUUUUUUUUUGAUUUUUUUUUUGUUUUUUUGUUUUUUUGGAAAUAUACACUUUCUACUACCUUAGAUACUUUUCCUAAUAAAUCAAAAGAACUAAAUGCUGUAAAACUUUAACUUACAACCCACUAGUAUGUGUCAUAGUGUGUGUGUGAAGAAUGAUUCAAUAAUACCUGUUAAAUGAGUAAACAAUUAAAUAACUUAAUAACCAAGUGGAGAGUUCACAAAUUUGAGUAAUUCAAAGAAAAGGGAACAAAAACAACUUACUAUGAAUCUCAAAAU
RNAcentral lists this long non-coding RNA (2210 nucleotides) under Citrus sinensis (sweet orange). RNAcentral describes it as "long non-coding RNA (CSIN_LNC005165)". Lineage: Eukaryota; Viridiplantae; Streptophyta; Magnoliopsida; Sapindales; Rutaceae. The record is from RNAcentral.